This 82-nucleotide microRNA precursor is filed under the name Mus pahari (shrew mouse). RNAcentral's name for it is "miRNA (MGP_PahariEiJ_G0006958.1)". Lineage: Eukaryota; Metazoa; Chordata; Mammalia; Rodentia; Muridae. The record is from RNAcentral.
CUUGAGCUAUUGACCUUUGUGUGCAUGUGGUGUAUGUUUGUACCUGUGUGUGUGUGCGUGCGCAUGUGCAUGGCACAUGCAU